GAUGAACGCUAGCGGGAGGCCUAACACAUGCAAGCCGAGCGGUAUUGUUUCUUCGGAAAUGAGAGAGCGGCGUACGGGUGCGGAACACGUGUGCAACCUGCCUCUAUCUGGGGGAUAGCCUUUCGAAAGGAAGAUUAAUACUCCAUAAUAUAUUGAACGGCAUCGUUUAAUAUUGAAAGCUCCGGCGGAUAGAGAUGGGCACGCGCAAGAUUAGCUAGUUGGUGAGGUAACGGCUCACCAAGGCGAUGAUCUUUAGGGGGCCUGAGAGGGUGAUCCCCCACACUGGUACUGAGACACGGACCAGACUCCUACGGGAGGCAGCAGUGAGGAAUAUUGGUCAAUGGGUGCAAGCCUGAACCAGCCAUCCCGCGUGAAGGACGACUGCCCUAUGGGUUGUAAACUUCUUUUGUAUAGGGAUAAACCUACCCUCGUGAGGGUAGCUGAAGGUACUAUACGAAUAAGCACCGGCUAACUCCGUGCCAGCAGCCGCGGUAAUACGGAGGGUGCAAGCGUCAUCCGGAUUUAUUGGGUUUAAAGGGUCCGUAGGCGGACUUAUAAGUCAGUGGUGAAAGCCUGUCGCUUAACGAUAGAACUGCCAUUGAUACUGUAAGUCUUGAGUAUAUUUGAGGUAGCUGGAAUAAGUAGUGUAGCGGUGAAAUGCAUAGAUAUUACUUAGAACACCAAUUGCGAAGGCAGGUUACCAAGAUAUAACUGACGCUGAGGGACGAAAGCGUGGGGAGCGAACAGGAUUAAAUACCCUGGUAGUCCACGCCGUAAACGAUGCUAACUCGUUUUUGGGCUUUAGGGUUCAGAGACCAAGCGAAAGUGAUAAGUUAGCCACCUGGGGAGUACGCUCGCAAGAGUGAAACUCAAAGGAAUUGACGGGGGCCCGCACAAGCGGUGGAUUAUGUGGUUUAAUUCGAUGAUACGCGAGGAACCUUACCAAGACUUAAAUGGGAAUUGACAGCUUUAGAAAUAGAGCUUUCUUCGGACAAUUUUCAAGGUGCUGCAUGGUUGUCGUCAGCUCGUGCCGUGAGGUGUUAGGUUAAGUCCUGCAACGAGCGCAACCCCUGUCACUAGUUGCCAUCAUUCAGUUGGGGACUCUAGUGAGACUGCCUACGCAAGUAGAGAGGAAGGUGGGGAUGACGUCAAAUCAUCACGGCCCUUACGUCUUGGGCCACACACGUAAUACAAUGGCCGGUACAGAGGGCAGCUACACAGCGAUGUGAUGCAAAUCUCGAAAGCCGGUCUCAGUUCGGAUUGGAGUCUGCAACUCGACUCUAUGAAGCUGGAAUCGCUAGUAAUCGCGCAUCAGCCAUGGCGCGGUGAAUACGUUCCCGGGCCU
Molecule: ribosomal RNA, 1345 nt
Filed under: uncultured bacterium
Lineage: Bacteria
Description: bacterial SSU rRNA
Rfam family: Bacterial small subunit ribosomal RNA
Source: RNAcentral